UAUAAAUCCAUGAAAUACCCACAUCUUCAACACUGCAUGCAGUUCUGAUUGCCCCAUCUCAAAAAGAUAAAUUGAAACUGGAAAAGGUACAGAGAAGAGCAGCAAAAAUGAUGAGGGGUAUGGAACAGCUUCUGUAUGAGGAGAGAUUAAAAAGACUGGAACUUUUUUAGCUUGGAAAAGAGACGACUAAGGGAGGAUAUGCUAGAGGUUUAUAAAAUCUUGACUGGUGUGGAAAAAGUGAAAAAGGAAGUGUUAUUUACCCCUUCACAUAACACAAGAACUAAGGGUCAUCCAAUGAAAUUAAUAGAAGGAGGUUUAAAACAAACAAAAGGAAGUAUUUCUUCACACAGCGCACAGUCAACCUUUGAAACUCCUUGCCAGGGGAUGUUGUGAAGGCCAAAACUAAACAGGGUUCAAAAAAGAACUAGAUUAAGUUCAUGGAGGACAGGUUCAUCAGUGGCUAUUAGCGAGGAUGAUCAGGGAUGCAACACCAUGCUCUGAGUGCUCCUAGCCUCAGUUUGUCAGAAGCUGGGAGUGGACAACAAGAGAUGAAUCAUUUGAUGAUUGGCUGUUCUGUUCAUUAGCUCUGAAGCACUUGGCACUGGCCACUGUUGGAAGACUGGAUAUUGGGGUAGAUGGACCAUUGGUCUGAACCCAGUGUGGCCGUUCUUAUGUUCAUUCAGCCUGCUGAACACUCCUGGCACCAACUUCGUCUUCCCAAGCUUUUUUAAAUUUAAAAGAAGAGGCUUUUAUAAUAAACCGCUAAUUCUUAAAAAUUGAAAUUGUUUAUUUUUAGAUGGAAUUUGCUAUUUCUGCAGUCCCAGUCUCCGCUUUGUGGUUGCAGAGGGAGGUAGGAUUGCUGCCUGAGGACAUCACCUGCAAAAUAGGUCAGGCAGCUGCGCAGAUGGUCUCCCAGCUGUUAGUCUGUGACAGGAACCCAGUGAAAUGCUGGUCUGUGUGUGAUGUGAGAGAUCCUGUAUCCUUUGGAGCCACGUCCCCAGCCCUGUUUCCCCUGGUCUCCCCCGGCCUGGCUUAUAUAGAACUGAGACAAGAAAUAAGAAGAGACACAUUUUGCAGUAUUCUCUGUUUAUCUUA
RNAcentral lists this long non-coding RNA (1095 nucleotides) under Gopherus agassizii (Agassiz's desert tortoise). Its description in RNAcentral is "lncRNA (ENSGAGG00000009525.1)". The record is from RNAcentral. Lineage: Eukaryota; Metazoa; Chordata; Testudines; Testudinidae.